Molecule: non-coding RNA, 73 nt
Organism: Octopus sinensis (East Asian common octopus)
Lineage: Eukaryota; Metazoa; Mollusca; Cephalopoda; Octopoda; Octopodidae
Source: the annotation of a RefSeq genome assembly
GGCCGCGUGGCCUAACGGAUAAGGCGUCUGGCUUCGAACCAGAAGAUUGUGGGUUCGAAUCCCAUCGUGGUCG